CCUACCCCGUGUCUGCUGGCAGGAGGCUCACACGGGAGGACAGGUACCUGGAGGAGGAGGCGGCGGCGGCGGUGUGGCCGGCUGUCAGUGAGACGAGCUCCUGCUCCUCCUCUUGAUCUCGCUGUUGUGCAGCUUCUCCUCGAUCUUCCUCUCGUGCCCGGCCGGGACAUGGCGGUUCCCGUUCAGCUCGAUCUCUCUCUUGGUUCUCCCCUUGCCCCCGGCCCCGCAGCCGUAGUCCUGCAGGUUGUAAUAUUCAUACUGGUCGUAGUGGUCGCGCUCGAAGUCCACCAGGCUCUCCAGGUCGGCCGACAUGAUCCGCAGUUGGGGCUCGGUCUCUCGCUCCGUCCUGACAGCUGGCUUCUGUUUUCAAAAACAACGAGCACGUGACAGCAACGGCGCUCUGUCAUUGGACGGCUGGGACAAGUGUGGAACGUGGACUGAGUUUGCGUGUCAAGCCUCGCUUUGGGGGGGGGGGGAGGU
This 480-nucleotide long non-coding RNA is filed under the name Pelobates cultripes (western spadefoot toad). The record is from RNAcentral. Lineage: Eukaryota; Metazoa; Chordata; Amphibia; Anura; Pelobatidae.